GGCUGUUCACAUUGGCAGCACUGUACUAAAAUUGGUACACUACAGAGAAGAUGAGCAUGGCCCCUGUGUGAGUGUGACACGCAAAUUGGUGAAGUGUUCCCUGUGUGU
RNAcentral lists this small nuclear RNA (108 nucleotides) under Panthera pardus (leopard). The record is from RNAcentral. Lineage: Eukaryota; Metazoa; Chordata; Mammalia; Carnivora; Felidae.